This 1502-nucleotide long non-coding RNA is filed under the name Anser cygnoides (Swan goose). RNAcentral's name for it is "lncRNA (ENSACDG00005002892.1)". Lineage: Eukaryota; Metazoa; Chordata; Aves; Anseriformes; Anatidae. The record is from RNAcentral.
UGUUAAGGAUACAGAAGCCCAAGGGCAGCAGCUGAACCUUUAUGCCUUUUUUUUUUUUUUUUCCCCAAGGAAGUUUUCAAUGUGUUCGUCUGCUGGGUCCUCAGGGAAUAACGUGCUCCUGCAAUUUAUUACACUGUCUCUAGGCAGAGACUACCACUGCUAUAUCAGAGAAUUACUUAAGGAGUUACUUAGGUCCAGGUGGCUGCUUGAGAACUUAUAGCCAGAACUUACAUCACCUGCUUCUUUUACUUAAAUUUAGAUCCCUUCCUUUGGCUCACUUUUAUCAGAGCAUAAUUUAAACACUGGUCACUGGAGACAAAGAGAAACCUAAAAUAAGCUCCAGAAUACACGUGAGAAACUCUGCUGGGAGGAGGUAAGAAGCUAUGUUUUCUCCUGAAAACCAGUGUCCUCCAGAGUGACUCUUGUAGUUUCUGCUGUCCAGGUUUGGAUGAAGGAGCUACUAAGAAGAGACAGCACGACAAGAGACAGCGGAAAGGUCAAGGCAAAGAGAAAAGUUGUCUGCAUGCAACCAUCUUUCCUUCUGGGACUCAUGAGCCAGUCUGAGGAGAGCAUAACCUGGAACAUCUCUAGUCCUCCUUACUGGCAUAAACAUACAAGUAAGGAUCCGACUCUGGAUGUACUACAGCCAAUUCUUAAAGACCUGUUUUGAAAGCUGUUUUCCAUUUAGUCUGUUUAGUAAUAAGAAUUAAGAAAUGGCUCCUGGUGGUCCUGACCCAUGUCAGCAGCAUCAGUUUCUGCCAUGGGCAUUUGCACAUACACCUUCCUGUCUCUUGGCCGCAGCACAUCACAUUAGUGUGACACAGUGACGUGAGAUGCCUGCAGUAAAAGUGGGUGUGGAUUCCAGGACUGUCCUGAAUGACGUGGGACUGAUCAUCAUCCUAGUGUGAACAGGGUAGUGCCUCAGAAAUACAUGCAUAACAUAAGUGUUGGCUGUUUGUCACUCCAGUGUCCUGAAAGAGAUGGCUUCUAAAACAUCUUAAAAUAAUCCUUCAGAGAAGAUCUAGAAAAAAAAAUAAUAUAUAUAUAUUUAUAGUUGUGUUGAAUGAAAUGGCUGGAGUCCAUUUCUGUUUUGGGGCCCUCAUGGGAAAGUUAGAUUAAAACAGGGAAAAUAGUUUGCAUAAAAAUGAUUUUCACAGAGUAAUGAGUGAAAUGAUAAUAGGCAAGCUAUGGUACAUCGAUCACACUGGUGAAAUAACAUCUGAUGGAUUUUGCAAAGCUGACCUUUCCCCUUCCUAUUUUUCCUGGAGAUAUCUAUCUUUUUCCAUGUGUAAACUUUGCAGCUUCAUUAUGAUCUCCUAUCACCAGUGCCUCCUUAUUAUCGGGUAAAGAGCAAACCGAGUGAUACUGCCUUUUUCCUUCUUCAGUUAGUAUCAAAACAGUGCAACAACCCCAGUCACAAACUCAAGAGUCUUUUGACAGCAGCAAUUAAGCAACUUAAUUAAUGAGUGAAUAAAAAUGAUAAUAUUUACUGAAUGGGAGCA